ACAUUUUUCCUAUUAUAGAGUUACAAACAUUUACAAAGUAUAUAAUACAUAUAUCUUUUUAGUGACGAAUAAAAUAUAUAAAGAAAUAAUAAUCCGGAGUGAAAAUAGAGAUAACGACGAAAAAAAAUUAGUAUAAAAAAAUUCAGUCAUCUUUUGAUAUCUUUUUGUAAGAUUAAAGGUCGAUGUCGAUGCGUUACCGCGUAUAUUUCCCUCUCCACGACACCAAUGUGAUGAUUUGGAAGGAAUACCAUGAAUUGCAAUUAUUUGAAUGAUGUUUUAGAUUUUAAGCUCGGCUUUUAGUAGGUACUUAAGAGUUAUGGAGACGCAUAACUUGAUGGAGUUGUUGGGUUUUUGGAGGUUAUUUCUCUUAGAAUUCAUAAUUCUGGUAAUCGUCUUUGGGACGGUUAUUAAACAAACGGUUCGCAAUACCGUAGCUGUUUAAGAAUACAGAAAAAAAGGCGGCUCAAGGAAAGUACCUACCAUUAAAGACCAUAACUAUGUCACCUUGUCGGGGACAAUGUGUAGAAGAAAAAAAAUAUUUAUUAUAUAAACAACUAAUAAAAAUGAUUAUAAAUAUUUGCUAGAACAUUUUGUCAACACCUUCAAAGUACCUCUUUUCAUUAUGUUUUCAAAAGAUAUGAAUAUGAUGUAUAAUUCACAAAAACAACUACUAAAUACAAUGCCUUGAUUAAU
Anoplophora glabripennis (Asian longhorned beetle) is the source of this 693-nucleotide long non-coding RNA. RefSeq lists it as uncharacterized. The record is from RefSeq and is a predicted model, not a curated record. Lineage: Eukaryota; Metazoa; Arthropoda; Insecta; Coleoptera; Cerambycidae. The transcript has 2 exons.